Molecule: long non-coding RNA, 996 nt
Filed under: Pongo abelii (Sumatran orangutan)
Lineage: Eukaryota; Metazoa; Chordata; Mammalia; Primates; Hominidae
Description: lincRNA
Source: RNAcentral
AACAAGCCCAGAAGGCGGCGGACACUCGCAUAAAGUCACGCAGUAGUACUCGGAGCCCAGGGUAGAACCUGGACUUCAAAUCUCUGCACUCCCGGCCGGGUGGUGGGCCCAUAUCCUGGGUAGCCUCUAGGAAGCGCUAGACACAUGGAACCAAGGCAGAAUCAGCCUGGCAGCUGGCAAGUCAUGGAGCACUGCCUGUCCAUCUGCGAGCUAACAACAGUCGCGCUGGAAGUCAACAAGGGAAAUGGAAAGGGAGAGACCCAGCCUCCACAGGGGCUCACGCCCUGGGACCCGUGCCAGUGUGAACAAGGUUUUCCGGCCCCAGUAGGCAGGCCUAAGUACUCUCAUUUCAUCAUUGAGGAGCCUGAGACGUUCAGUCAUUGAUUGGACAGCCCUCACCAUUCAAGCCCUCCUUGGUUUACAGCAGCACAAAGAGAGGCUCUGAAGGUUCUAGCCAGAGGAAGCUGCAGCCAGGCCUGGCAGUCUCCCCUGCUCCCUUCCACCAGCUUGGUUCCUGUUCCUGCUGGUCCUGGGAGCCCCCAGCAGAUGGACUGCCCUUAUCAGCCGGCUCCAGGCCAGAGGAGGAAUCCUCCGGUCACGUGUGGCUCUCUGGAGGGAGAGAGACCUCGUAAAUAGUAAAUACAUACAGCCCACGCAGAGGAAGUGGGGAGGGUCAAGGGGAAAGAAACCUUGACAUUCUGGCGACUGGGCCAGGAUUAAAGGCCACCAGGCAUAGCCCUUAUUGGCUAUUUCUAUGAGGAAUCUCAAAUCCACAUGGCUUCCCUGGAUGACAAGGCUGACUUUGACUAGCCCUGGGAUCUGGGGCAUUCCCAGUGUGCUGCUGGCUUGAUCCAGGCCUAAUCCUUUGCCCAGGACUGACCUUUCACAGUUUACAGAGCACUUUAUCUCCUGGCUCAGUGAAGUCUCACAGAACUCUCCAGAGAGAAGGGAGUUUAUCAUCACCCUCAGACGAGGAAGCUGAGGCUGCGACUGUAA